This 527-nucleotide ribosomal RNA is filed under the name uncultured Hydrogenophilaceae bacterium. RNAcentral's name for it is "bacterial SSU rRNA". It matches the Rfam family "Bacterial small subunit ribosomal RNA", at positions 8 to 526 of the family's 1533-position model. Lineage: Bacteria; Pseudomonadati; Pseudomonadota; Hydrogenophilia; Hydrogenophilales; Hydrogenophilaceae. The record is from RNAcentral.
AGAGUUUGAUCCUGGCUCAGAUUGAACGCUGGCGGAAUGCUUUACACAUGCAAGUCGAACGGCAGCACGGGAGCUUGCUCCUGGUGGCGAGUGGCGAACGGGUGAGUAAUACGUAGGAACAUGUCCAGUAAUGGGGGAUAACGCAGCGAAAGCUGUGCUAAUACCGCAUACGUCCUAAGGGAGAAAGCGGGGGAUUCGCAAGAACCUCGCGUUAUUGGAGUGGCCUACGGCUGAUUAGCUAGUUGGUGAGGUAAAGGCUCACCAAGGCGACGAUCAGUAGCUGGUCUGAGAGGAUGAUCAGCCACACUGGAACUGAGACACGGUCCAGACUCCUACGGGAGGCGGCAGUGGGGAAUUUUGGACAAUGGGSSMMMCCCUGAUCCAGCCAUACCGCGUGAGUGAAGAAGGCCUUCGGGUUGUAAAGCUCUUUCAGACGGAAAGAAACGGCCACGGCUAAUACCUGUGGCUAAUGACGGUACCGUAAGAAGAAGCACCGGCUAACUACGUGCCAGCAGCCGCGGUAAUAC